AGAGUUUGAUCCUGGCUCAGGAUGAACGCUGGCGGCGUGCCUAACACAUGCAAGUCGAGCGAAGCAAUUAAGAGGAAGUUUUCGGAUGGAAUGUUAAUUGACUGAGCGGCGGACGGGUGAGUAACGCGUGGGUAACCUGCCUCAUACAGGGGGAUAACAGUUAGAAAUGACUGCUAAUACCGCAUAAGCACACAGAACCGCAUGGUUCGGGGUGAAAAGCCGAGACGGUAUGAGAUGGACCCGCGUCUGAUUAGCUAGUUGGGGGGGUAACGGCCCACCAAGGCAACGAUCAGUAGCCGACCUGAGAGGGUGACCGGCCACAUUGGGACUGAGACACGGCCCAAACUCCUACGGGAGGCAGCAGUGGGGGAUAUUGCACAAUGGGGGAAACCCUGAUGCAGCGACGCCGCGUGAGUGAAGAAGUAUUUCGGUAUGUAAAGCUCUAUCAGCAGGGAAGAAAAAAGACGGUACCUGACUAAGAAGCCCCGGCUAACUACGUGCCAGCAGCCGCGGUAAUACGUAGGGGGCAAGCGUUAUCCGGAUUUACUGGGUGUAAAGGGAGCGUAGACGGCAAUACAAGUCGGAAGUGAAAUACCCGGGCUCAACCUGGGAACUGCUUUGGAAACUGUAUGGCUGGAGUGCUGGAGAGGUAAGCGGAAUUCCUAGUGUAGCGGUGAAAUGCGUAGAUAUAUGGAAGAACACCAGUGGCGAAGGCGGCUCUCUGGUCUGCAACUGACGCUGAGGCUCGAAAGCAUGGGUAGCGAACAGGAUUGAUACCCUGGUAGUCCAUGCCGUAAACGAUGAGUGCUAAGUGUUGGGGA
RNAcentral lists this ribosomal RNA (821 nucleotides) under uncultured bacterium. RNAcentral's name for it is "bacterial SSU rRNA". It matches the Rfam family "Bacterial small subunit ribosomal RNA", at positions 8 to 829 of the family's 1533-position model. The record is from RNAcentral.